UACGUAGGGUGCGAGCGUUAUCCGGAAUUAUUGGGCGUAAAGGGUGCGUAGGCGGCUUGGUAAGUUAGAUGUGAAAGCCAUAGGCUUAACUUGUGGUUGCGUCUAAAACUGCCUGGCUAGAGUGUGCUAGAGGAAAGCGGAACUCGUGGUGUAGCGGUGAAAUGCGUAGAUAUCACGAGGAACACCAGUAGCGAAGGCGGCUUUCUGGGGCAUUACUGACGCUGAGGCACAAAAGCGUGGGGAGCAAACAGG
This 252-nucleotide ribosomal RNA is filed under the name uncultured bacterium. RNAcentral describes it as "partial 16S ribosomal RNA". It matches the Rfam family "Bacterial small subunit ribosomal RNA", at positions 524 to 776 of the family's 1533-position model. The record is from RNAcentral.